This 1419-nucleotide ribosomal RNA is filed under the name bacterium NLAE-zl-P592. Its description in RNAcentral is "bacterial SSU rRNA". It matches the Rfam family "Bacterial small subunit ribosomal RNA". The record is from RNAcentral.
GGCUUACCAUGCAGGUCGAGGGGCAGCAUGNAACUUAGCUUGCUAAGUUUGAUGGCGACCGGCGCACGGGUGAGUAACACGNUAUCCAACCUGCCGAUGACUCGGGGAUAGCCUUUCGAAAGAAAGAUUAAUACCCGAUGGCAUANUUCUUCCGCAUGGCAGAACUAUUAAAGAAUUUCGGUCAUCGAUGGGGAUGCGUUCCAUUAGGUUGUUGGCGGGGUAACGGCCCACCAAGCCUUCGAUGGAUAGGGGUUCUGAGAGGAAGGUCCCCCACAUUGGAACUGAGACACGGUCCAAACUCAUACGGGAGGCAGCAGUGAGGAAUAUUGGUCAAUGGACGAGAGUCUGAACCAGCCAAGUAGCGUGAAGGAUGACUGCCCUAUGGGUUGUAAACUUCUUUUAUACGGGAAUAAAGUGAGGCACGUGUGCCUUUUUGUAUGUACCGUAUGAAUAAGGAUCGGCUAACUCCGUGCCAGCAGCCGCGGUAAUACGGAGGAUCCGAGCGUUAUCCGGAUUUAUUGGGUUUAAAGGGAGCGUAGGCGGACGCUUAAGUCAGUUGUGAAAGUUUGCGGCUCAACCGUAAAAUUGCAGUUGAUACUGGGUGUCUUGAGUACAGUAGAGGCAGGCGGAAUUCGUGGUGUAGCGGUGAAAUGCUUAGAUAUCACGAAGAACUCCGAUUGCGAAGGCAGCUUGCUGGACUGUAACUGACGCUGAUGCUCGAAAGUGUGGGUAUCAAACAGGAUUAGAUACCCUGGUAGUCCACACAGUAAACGAUGAAUACUCGCUGUUUGCGAUAUACAGUAAGCGGCCAAGCGAAAGCGUUAAGUAUUCCACCUGGGGAGUACGCCGGCAACGGUGAAACUCAAAGGAAUUGACGGGGGCCCGCACAAGCGGAGGAACAUGUGGUUUAAUUCGAUGAUACGCGAGGAACCUUACCCGGGCUUGAAUUGCAACUGAAUGAUGUGGAGACAUGUCAGCCGCAAGGCAGUUGUGAAGGUGCUGCAUGGUUGUCGUCAGCUCGUGCCGUGAGGUGUCGGCUUAAGUGCCAUAACGAGCGCAACCCUUAUCGAUAGUUACCAUCAGGUUAUGCUGGGGACUCUGUCGAGACUGCCGUCGUAAGAUGUGAGGAAGGUGGGGAUGACGUCAAAUCAGCACGGCCCUUACGUCCGGGGCUACACACGUGUUACAAUGGGGGGUACAGAAGGCAGCUACACGGCGACGUGAUGCUAAUCCCUAAAGCCUCUCUCAGUUCGGAUUGGAGUCUGCAACCCGACUCCAUGAAGCUGGAUUCGCUAGUAAUCGCGCAUCAGCCACGGCGCGGUGAAUACGUUCCCGGGCCUUGUACACACCGCCCGUCAAGCCAUGAAAGCCGGGGGUACCUGAAGUGCGUAACCGCAAGAGCGCCCUAGGUAAACUGUC